GCCCGGGUGGCGUAACUGGUAGACGCGGGGGGCUUAAACCCCCCUGGUGGGACCACCACCGUGCGGGUUCGAAUCCCGCCCCGGGCA
RNAcentral lists this transfer RNA (87 nucleotides) under Actinomycetes bacterium. RNAcentral describes it as "Actinobacteria bacterium tRNA-Leu". It matches the Rfam family "tRNA". Rfam says of the family: Transfer RNA (tRNA) molecules are approximately 80 nucleotides in length. Lineage: Bacteria; Bacillati; Actinomycetota; Actinomycetes. RNAcentral also lists the same sequence under 1 other name. The record is from RNAcentral.